AGAGUUUGAUCAUGGCUCAGGACGAACGCUGGCGGCGUGCCUAAUACAUGCAAGUAGAACGCUGAAGGAGGAGCUUGCUCUUCUGGAUGAGUUGCGAACGGGUGAGUAACGCGUAGGUAACCUGCCUGGUAGCGGGGGAUAACUAUUGGAAACGAUAGCUAAUACCGCAUAAUAGCAGUUGUUGCAUGACAACUGUUUGAAAGGUGCAAUUGCACCACUACCAGAUGGACCUGCGUUGUAUUAGCUAGUUGGUGGGGUAACGGCUCACCAAGGCGACGAUACAUAGCCGACCUGAGAGGGUGAUCGGCCACACUGGGACUGAGACACGGCCCAGACUCCUACGGGAGGCAGCAGUAGGGAAUCUUCGGCAAUGGACGGAAGUCUGACCGAGCAACGCCGCGUGAGUGAAGAAGGUUUUCGGAUCGUAAAGCUCUGUUGUAAGAGAAGAACGAGUGUGAGAGUGGAAAGUUCACACUGUGACGGUAUCUUACCAGAAAGGGACGGCUAACUACGUGCCAGCAGCCGCGGUAAUACGUAGGUCCCGAGCGUUGUCCGGAUUUAUUGGGCGUAAAGCGAGCGCAGGCGGUUAGAUAAGUCUGAAGUUAAAGGCUGUGGCUUAACCAUAGUACGCUUUGGAAACUGUUUAACUUGAGUGCAAGAGGGGAGAGUGGAAUUCCAUGUGUAGCGGUGAAAUGCGUAGAUAUAUGGAGGAACACCGGUGGCGAAAGCGGCUCUCUGGCUUGUAACUGACGCUGANGCUCGAAAGCGUGGGGAGCAAACAGGANUA
RNAcentral lists this ribosomal RNA (787 nucleotides) under uncultured marine microorganism. Its description in RNAcentral is "bacterial SSU rRNA". It matches the Rfam family "Bacterial small subunit ribosomal RNA", at positions 8 to 780 of the family's 1533-position model. The record is from RNAcentral.